RNAcentral lists this ribosomal RNA (497 nucleotides) under uncultured bacterium. RNAcentral's name for it is "partial 16S ribosomal RNA". It matches the Rfam family "Bacterial small subunit ribosomal RNA", at positions 28 to 507 of the family's 1533-position model. The record is from RNAcentral.
GAUGAACGCUGGCGGCGUGCCUAAUACAUGCAAGUCGAGCGAACAGAUGCGGAGCUUGCGCCUCGCACGUUAGCCGCGCACGGGAGAGUAACACGUGGAUAAUCUACCUAUAUGACGGGGAUAUCUUCGGGACGCCGGCGCUAAUCCCGGAUAAUCUCUUGCUCCGCAUGGUUCAAUAGUGAAAGUCGGUGUUGCUGUCACUUAUAGAUGGAUCCGCGCCGCAUGGGCUAGUUGGUAAGGUAACGGCUUACCAAGGCAAGGAUGCGUAGCCGACCUGUGAGGGUGAUCGGCCACACGGGAACUGAGACACGGUCCAGACGCCUACGGGAGGCAGCAGUAGGGAAUCGUCCGCAAUGGGCGGAAGCCUGACGGAGCAACGGCGCGUGAGUGAUGACGGUCUUCGGAUCGUAAAACUCUGUUAUUAGGGAAGAACAAAUGUGGAAGUAACUAUGCACGGCUUGACGGUACCUAAUCAGAAAGCCACGGCUAACUACGUG